This is a non-coding RNA of Cinara cedri, 446 nucleotides long. The record is from the annotation of a GenBank genome assembly. Lineage: Eukaryota; Metazoa; Arthropoda; Insecta; Hemiptera; Aphididae.
CAAAGAAAAAAAAAUGGAACUAUGGAGCAUACUUAUUUGAUUGUCAAAGUAAAAAACAAAUGUAUAUACUUCGCACGACGGAUGGGCCACUACUAACGUAGAAGUAGGUAACUUUAGGCAAAAAUGUCGUUUUUGUUUCGAGUUGUUAGUACAACUGUAGUAAACACUUUAUAAUAACGUUUUACAAGAAUUUACAUAUUUUUUUCUUAUUUAACAACAAUUGACACGAAUAACGUCGAAAACUUUAAGGUAAGUUUAAUUUUUAAGUACAUGAAAAAAUCACAAAUUAUCUUUCUGUUUUAAAUAUUUAUUUACUCAUAUAAGUUAUAAUUUGACAAAAACAUGUUUUUCUUUUCUGUAGUAUGAAACAGUAUACGAAAAAUCAUAAUCGCAUUAAAUGCACUUGAGUUAUAAACGAUUUUAUGAUUUGGGUGCAUCUUGGGGCA